Sinocyclocheilus grahami is the source of this 91-nucleotide long non-coding RNA. RefSeq lists it as uncharacterized. The transcript has 3 exons. NCBI's taxonomy places the organism in Eukaryota, Metazoa, Chordata, Actinopteri, Cypriniformes, Cyprinidae. The record is from RefSeq and is a predicted model, not a curated record.
AAACAACAGUCGAGAAAGAGCUGGCAAGGGCACUCCAGCAGAUGGCUGUGACAGUACCCUCGCUUUAAGGAGUGGAUUCCAGACGCUCCAA